AAAAAAAUCUGGAAAAAAGCAGAACUUUGUUGGUCAAGUUGGUGGUAUUGAUAUUUUUUCAGGGAGGUGGCUUUUUAAUCAGAAAGCCUCCCUUUCAACAAUGAAAAACACUGACUUAUUGAAAUAUUCAAAUAAUUGUUUGCAGUGAGAUUCCUUCUAUCAUUUUCCUUAACUUACUAUUGACCAUCCUAAAUCAAACGAGGAUGACAACGGAUACCUCUGAUGAGGAAGAAGCCACUGGUUGAGGAUGACCUCGCACUCCCCGUCCCAGGAGCCAGAAGCAGGGAGGAGGACCAACAGAUGAACUGAUGAUUCUGCAGUGAGCUAGCCAUUUCUGAUUCUUAAGAAGCGUGGAUGAGUCUUGGAUUGAUGGAGACUUGGAGAUGCCGAAUUUGGAGACACACCAAACUACCAUCACAGAUGUACCUUUAGGAAUCGAAAGCAGUGAGGAGGACCGACACAUGAACUGAAGACCCAGCUUACUGAGCUAGCCAUUUCUGAUUUUCAAGAAACCUGGCCGAGUAUUGAUGAGGACCUGGAUGGAGAGUCUGUUUGUUGACUUGAUGCCUGAAACCAUCAUCACAUAUGACCGAGGAACCGGAAGCAGGGAGGAAGAACGACAGAAGAACGGAAGACCCUGCUUGCUGGGCUCUCCAUUUCCGAUUUUUACAAAAAUGGAGCCUGUCAUACCUGGAUGAGAGUGGUCAGAUGAAGGGGCUUCUGUGUUUACGGCUGACUUUGCCCUCCUCACCCCACUUCUGCUGACACGAAGGAGGAGGAAGCAGAGAGGAGAACCUUUAGAGGACUGAACAUUAGCCACACUACUUGGGAUAUUAUCCAAAAGUUUAUCAUAGGUUUAUAGCUUGAAAAAAAACUACUUAUGUGACUUAUUAUUCAACGAGGAGGACAAGGAAGAACUGAGAUGUCACAGCGUCACAACUCAGUGAUGACGAACUGCAACAUUAGCCACACUACUUGGAAUAUUAUCAAAAAGUUUAUCAUAGGUUUAUAGUUAAAAAAAGACUACUUACAUGACUUAUUAUUCGACGAGGAAGACAAGGAAGAACUGAGAUGCCACAGUUUCACAAUUCAGUGAUGUCGAACUGCAAUGGACAUUAGUCACGCUACUUGGAAUAAAUCUAAAAGCCUUAUAAUUUGGUUGAUCAUAAGUUUUAAGUUUAAAAAAAAGACUGCUCAUGUAAUUUAUUAUUCGAUGAGGAAGACACAGAAGAACUGGGAUGUCACAGCAUCUGGGGCGCUGUCCUUAUCCACAUUUAAAAAAACAAGUAAAACCUUCCAAAGAAAACAAGAUUCAAAAACUCUUGAGUCAUCAAAAGGGACAUUGGCUGAUACUUGUUUGUAUGAACAUUAAGAAAGAAACAGAUACCAUCCUGCCCGAUAAUCAACAUAAAAAUCAUUAGAGAGUCAAACUAUAAUUUGUGACCUGAAGAAAAAGAGGUUGCUCUUUGAAAAGGUCAAUCAUCACUUUAUAGCCCAGAGUAAUGACAUUGUUUCUGAAUUGCUCCCUGUGUAUGAUGUGAUUUUCCCUGUGUACGGUGUGAUUAUUUCUUGUGUUCAGUGUGAUUAUUCCUUGUGUGCCGUGUGAUUAUUUCUGUGUAUGGUGUGAUCAUUUCUGUGUAUGGUGUGAUUAUUCCCUGCGUAGUGUAUUUUCUUCUAGUAUUUUUUGAUAAACUCCAACGAAAAUAGCGCAAAAUCAAAACUAGAGAGAAAUAAAUAAUACUUGAAAUCAGUGUUAUUUAUUUUCUCAAAGUUACAAUACGAUACGAUACGAUACGAUACGAUUGGGUACGAAACGAUACGAACGAUACAAUACGAUACGAUAAUGUUGGCGAGACAAAAAUAUUUCGAAAAGUGUUAUUUUUCUCACAAAAAAGACGGUCCAAAAAAAAAAGAUUUACGGUACGAUACGAUUAUACGAGAGCGGUGAACUUCGAAUUUUUUUGUCCAAAAAUUCAGCCGUGAAAGUUAAAGAAAUUAAACUGGAAAUCAUGCGAACAACAAAAGAAAGAAAUGCGAAGAAAAAUUAAAUUCCGGUAUAUUAAAACAAAGCGGAGGUGAGACGAAAUGCAUGAAAGAAAGAAAUGAUACUUGAAAAUCAUUGUUAUAUUUUUUUUCUCGAGAGGCUAUAUGACACGCCACGCCACGAUACGACACGAUACGAUAGCGGUGGUGAGCAAAAAUAAUGUUUGGAAAAAGUGUUAUUGUUCUCACCCAUAAAAAAAGUAGAGAAAGAAAUAUUACUUGAAAAUCAGUGUUAUUUAUUUCUCAAAGGUACGAUACGAUCCGACAUGAUCCGACACGAUACAAUAGCGGUGGUGUGAAAAAUAAUACAUGUAUUAGGAAAAAGUGUUAUUUUCUCACCCAUAAAAAAUGUAGGGAAAGAAAUAAUACUUGAAAAUCAGUGUUAUUUAUUUCUCAAAGGUACAAUACGCGAGGGUACGAUACGACACGAUACGAUACGACACAAUACGAUACGACACGAUACCGGUCGUGAGGAAAAUAAUAUUUGGAAAAUUGAUACUCGCCCAAAAAAAUGUAGGGAAAGAAAUAAUACUUGAAAAUCGGUGUUAUUUAUUUCUCGAAGUGAGGGAUGACUCGCCACGCCAUGAUAAGACACGCCAUGAUACGACACGGUACGAUACGACACGAUGCGAUACGACACGAUACGUGUUAUAAAAAGUGUUAUAAUUCGGCAAAAAAAAUUCAGCCUGAAAAAAUCAUGCAACCAACAAAAUAAAAUAAAUGGGACGAAAAUUGAAGUUAUGGUAGAAUAAAAAAGCGGCUGAGCACGAGACAAAUAACAUUUGUUAAAACAGUGUUAUUUUUCUCACCCACAAUAAUGCAACACAGCAUGUAAAACAAUACAAAAUGAUACGAAAUAAGUCAAUCGCGAUACCUUCUUGCAAAACCAAUGGCCACGAAAAUAACUGAUUCCAGCUUGCAACUCGAGAAAAAAACAGAAAUUUUUAAAUCAGUAAGAUUUCUACUGCAAAAAAGUGAAACAAAAUAAAUAAGGACAGACUAAAGUAAAGAAAUCGGCUACGAAUUUAUUUGAUUGGGAAAAAAAGCGGUAGUGACAAGAAAAACCAGUCAUGCCGCAUGUUUAUUGUCAAGUGUAUUGCCAAGCCAUCUCUCCUCGCGAUUUGUUUUUUCGUCGAAAUGUUCAGAUUUCUUCCUUCAUUCUUGAUCUGCAUCUCAUGACAUGUCACGUGUCACCUUCAAAAGAUUUAGUUUAGCUGUGUCUUUUAGUUUUUAAUUAAUUAGUAAGUCCGAUCUAUAAAUGCAUCGGCAGGGAUUCCUGUGGCUUAUAGUCACCUUCAAAAGUUUUCUUUCCAGCCGUGUCUUGAUUGUAAACCAGUAAGUCCGAUGUUCAACGAUCGGCAGUAAAACUUCUGAUAUUUGUCUCCUUCAGAAUGUUUAUUUUUGUUGAUAGGUAUUGUAGCACUAUGCCGUCUCCAAAAGUAACUUUUAGCCCCAUUUUGAAUUAGAGAAAUAUUGUAAGUCCGAUCUUCAACAAUCGGCAGGGAAACACUUGUGGCAUUAUGUCGCCUUCGAUUGAGAGUAAGUCCAGUGUGCAACGGUUGGCAAAAGCGUUAGACAUUAUUGUCUUCAGUAUUCAUACAUGUAUAUUCAUGUAUUAAUAGCAUUAAUGGAUUUGUCAAAGUGAGCCCCAUCGAUUUGCAGCUUUUUAUUUCUUUUUUCUCCCUCAUAAUAAUUAUGACUAUUGUGUUGGCCGGGUUUAAAAUAAGUACCGGGAGUCUUUUCUAACCAUGGUAGGCUAGGUAGGCUGGGUCGAGUUUUCUUUCUCCCUGUAGCUCAUUCAGCCAAGAGAUGAACAUGCAAGCGCGAGACUGAACGGAUGAGGAGAUGCUGCUUUGUCAGGAUGGAAACGAAUCCUUCCGAGGAACCGGAAGCAGGGAGGAAGACCGACGGACGAACGGAUGACUCUGCUUGCAGGGCUACCCAUUUCUGAUUCCUAAGAGGAAGGAAACUAGAAUACAUGGAUGAAAAUGGACAGAUGAAGAAGCUUCUGGUUGAGGAUGACCUUCCCUCCACAUCCCACUUCAGCUGGAACUAAGGAGCCGGAAGCAGGGAGGAGGACCAACAGAUGAACGGAUGAUCUGCUUGUCGGGCUGCCCAUUUUUUAUAUU
Molecule: long non-coding RNA, 4172 nt
Organism: Patiria miniata (bat star)
Lineage: Eukaryota; Metazoa; Echinodermata; Asteroidea; Valvatida; Asterinidae
Exons: 5
Source: RefSeq, a predicted model, not a curated record